This 508-nucleotide ribosomal RNA is filed under the name uncultured bacterium. Its description in RNAcentral is "bacterial SSU rRNA". It matches the Rfam family "Bacterial small subunit ribosomal RNA", at positions 363 to 863 of the family's 1533-position model. The record is from RNAcentral.
UUUGCACAAUGGCCGAAAGGCUGAUGCAGCAACGCCGCGUGAGUGAAGAAGGCCUUCGGGUUGUAAAGCUCUGUUGCCCGUGACGAACUGCCGCAUCAGGAAAUGGGUGCGGAUUGACGGUAGCGGGAGAGGAAGCCCCGGCAAACUACGUGCCAGCAGCCGCGGUAAUACGUAGGGGGCGAGCGUUGUCCGGAUUUAUUGGGCGUAAAGGGCGUGUAGGCGGCCUGGCAAGUCAGGGGUGAAACCCCAGGGCUCAACCCUGGGCGUGCCUCUGAAACUGUUGGGCUUGAGUGCUCUAGAGGGCAGUGGAAUUCCCGGUGUAGCAGUGAAAUGCGUAGAGAUCGGGAGGAACACCAGUGGCGAAGGCGACUGCCUGGGGAGUAACUGACGCUGAGGCGCGAAAGCUAGGGGAGCGAACAGGAUUAGAUACCCUGGUAGUCCUAGCCGUAAACGAUGAGUGCUAUGUGUGAGGGGUAUCGACCCCCCUCGUGCAGCAGUAACGCAAUAG